Molecule: ribosomal RNA, 497 nt
Filed under: uncultured bacterium
Lineage: Bacteria
Description: partial 16S ribosomal RNA
Rfam family: Bacterial small subunit ribosomal RNA
Source: RNAcentral
GACGAACGCUGGCGGCGUGCCUAAUACAUGCAAGUAGAACGCUGAAGAGAGGAGCUUGCUCUUCUUGGUUGAGUUGCGAACGGGUGAGUAACGCGUAGGUAACCUGCCUGGUAGCGGGGGAUAACUAUUGGAAACGAUAGCUAAUACCGCAUAAAAUUGAUUAUUUCAUGAUACUUAAUUGAAAGAUGCAACUGCAUCACUACCAGAUGGACCUGCGUUGUAUUAGCUAGUUGGUGAGGUAACGGCGCACCAAGGCGACGAUACAUAGCCGACCUCAGAGGGUGAGCGGCAACGCUGGGACGGGGACACGGCCCAGACUCCUACGGGAGGCAGCAGUAGGGAAUCUUCGGGAAUGGGGGGAACCCUGAACGAGCGACGCCGCGUGAGUGAAGAAGGUUGUCGGAUCGUAAAGCUCUGUUGUAAGAGAAGAACGGGUGGGAGAGUGGAAAGGGCACACUGUGACGGUACCUGACCAGAAAGGGACGGCUAACUACGUG